Long non-coding RNA from Arabidopsis lyrata subsp. lyrata, 2155 nucleotides. RefSeq lists it as uncharacterized. The record is from RefSeq and is a predicted model, not a curated record. NCBI's taxonomy places the organism in Eukaryota, Viridiplantae, Streptophyta, Magnoliopsida, Brassicales, Brassicaceae. The transcript is spliced from 2 exons.
CAACUGUUCCUUUUCCUUAUUCACCAACUCAAUUACAGAAUUAAAUUCAUAGCAAUAAACCCUUUUCAAGAUGUGAAAUUAAUUAAGACGAGAAUAAGGGACACGAACACGUAAAUCAGAUACAUACCAUAGAGCAAAGAGAUCUCCUUUUAUUUAGUAGGCACCGCUUUGAAACUCCCUAAAAGAUUCCAAACGCCGUUAACCUUAGGCAGAGGAAACACCGAGAAUGUAAGCAACCAAAGGAAUUACAUAAUCAGAUUGAAAAUAGCUCGAAGGGAAGACCAAAAGAGAACUCAACAAGGCCAAUAUCCAUUAGCAUAACCAAACCGUUCACAGGAAGCUUCAAAUCUCUCAAAACCAAAAAGCCUUGAGCUAUACGUAACUUAGGAACAUCAAGAGCCACAGAACAAAACGGAACACGAUACUCUUCACCACCCUUGUUUCUUCCUAAUCGUAGAUUCACAUAACUGAAGCUGAAGAAGCGAAAGAGACAGCUCGGCGAAAGAAACAGAGCAUUGUGGUCACUCGAAAAGCUUCCUAUUGAUGUGGGACUCUGAGAAUGUAAGCAUCAUUCACACUUCACAGUUCAUGGAAAAAAAAAGGAACUGGCCUCAGACUGUGUAUUGGUUUAUUUCACGAGUGGAUCAAAGAUCCUUUGAUGUCGUUUUAUGGGAUACAGCUUCAUCACCGGCCAGUUUUGAUCUUCCCUCAUCUGUUAUAAACCAGUCCAUAAAAAUUCGAGGGGACGACGUGGGAUAAAUCUGAGUGGUCGACGUGGGCCUGGGCUUUAUUUAAAUAAAUCUCUCUAUCUCUAUCCAGAUACAAUCACCGAGCUCGGCCCACUUGUCUGUAUGCGAGUCCACAACAUUGUCGGUUGAAGCCUUUCAUCGAAGUCGCUCAGAUCUGUUCUCUGGCGGUGCGGUGGUCGCCGGUCAAGGUGGAGCGGUCGUCCUGGAUCGCUCACUUUGCUCACUUUGUCGGCUCUGUGCUGUAGAGGACGGCGGCGAGAUCUACGGUGUCCAUAAACUUUGUCGUUGACUUUGCUCCUUCACGAUUUAAUCACGAGCCUUUGCUUUCUCUUUCGCAUAUUUAAUCAAAGCUAGAGGUCACAACUCUCACCGAUCACCAGUCACCGUCACGGCCGCCGUCUUCAACCACCACAUCCUAACCGGUGAAUUUUCUGGUGUAACUCUCAGCCCUCAUCUCUGGCGAGCAUCUCUUUAUUCACCAUCAAUUCAUCUGAGACUUCAUUCAAGUCUCCCUCUUCGACAACGAGAGAUAUUGCAAUGUCACAGUAUAUGAUUUUUGAAUUAGAGAAGAAAGGAGAAAACAAGAAAGGAGAUGUCUGAUUCAAGAAAACGUUUGGUGGAUGAAACGUAAUCCGAUCAAGCUGAAACUUGGUGGUAAGCUUCGUGAAAAUGCUGUCUUGAGUAUCAACGGUGGGAUUGAGAUUUUGACGGUUGGUUUGUGUUUUAUUCGAGCUUCUUCCGGGCACAGUUCAUCUGAAAGUUUCAGAUUUGACCAGUUCUUAUGGAAAUGUCAACCGGAUGACCAAAUAAACUCGGAAUGAGAUGAAAUUUUGCAGAGAUACUCUAGACAUGUGAAACUAGAUUCUGGUAGAAGGACACUGGAUUUGGAGUCCGGGAACAUAGUUUACUGAUGACAUUUCAGAACAGUUGAUUCAAAGUCUUAUGGAACAAUGAGUUUCUAAUGACAUGAAAAAGGUGAAGAGCAUAGAUGUUGAAACAUGUUAUGGAAGCAUCCUAGAAACUAUGAAGAAUGCUGAAAAGCGUUUUUAGAAGAGACUUUGAAACACAGAGAUUGCAACUGAGACUAAGAGAGGAGUUGAGACAGAAAAAGUUCUUAGUUCAUGAGAAAGAUGAAAUUAUGUAAGAGAAGAGGUUCUUCUGAAUGAUUAUCAUCAGUAAGGUUUAUGAAGAAUGCUGAAAAUCGUUUUUAGAUGAGACUUUGACACAGAAAGAUUGCAACUAAGGCUAAGAGAGAAGUUGAGACAAAAAAUAAAAAGUUCUUAGUUCAUGAGAAAGAUGAGAUUAUGUGGGAGAAGAGGUUAUUCUCAAUGAUUGUUAUUAGUAAGGUUUAUGAUGAUAUUCUGUCAUCAAACUUUCUGUUAAAUCAAGGUAUAAAGUCAUGGAAA